Non-coding RNA from Sus scrofa (pig), 2051 nucleotides. NCBI's taxonomy places the organism in Eukaryota, Metazoa, Chordata, Mammalia, Artiodactyla, Suidae. The record is from the annotation of a RefSeq genome assembly.
ACAGCGUCAGACAGGGAACAGGAAGGUUUGCUCACAGUCCGUCACUCUCAGCUGAUGUGCUGGUGGGUGAGUCCCAAGCCGGAGCACUGCAAGCAGAAGGUUGGUAAAAUAGGUGAGAGGUGACCAGUUUCCUCAUUGUCGGUGGGGUGGGUGCAAGAGAGGAGCGCCUGCCUCAGAGAAACCUCAGCACAGCUGUGCCGGGACAGACUUGGCCCUUUAAACCAACCCCCAGCCAGAACUGAACCUGGGGAGGAACCCUGUGGGUGGGCAGCCGAGCUCGGGGCCUCAGGGCGCCUGCAACGUGAGGGUAACGGGGCGGGGCCAUCACGGGAUCAUCCUCCAAUCAGGGAGAGCGAAGCUGGAACUCAGCUCUGACCCAGCAGGACCAGAACCUGAGCAGGACCGCGGUGUCUGCCUCGCGUGCCAUGGGUUCCAGAUCCCUUCCCUGGGCCGUGCUUUGUCUCCUGGGAGCAGGCCCCUUGGCGGCUGGAGUCACUCAAACUCCAAGACACGUGAUCAAAUCAACAGGACAGACAGUGACACUGAGAUGUUCCCCUGUCUCUGGGCACCUCAGUGUAUCUUGGUACCUACAGGCCCUGAAUCAGGGCCCCCAGUUCCUCUUUGAGUUUUAUGACCAAAUGCCAAGAGCCAAAGGAAACGUCUCAGAUCGAUUCUCAGUACAACAGCCCAGUAACUCUCUCUCUGAGCUGACGGUGAAGUUCUCGGAGCUGACAGACUCCUCUCUGUACCUCUGUGCCAGCAGCCUGGCACAGUCCUGCGGAGUCACCAGCCUUCUGUGCAGAAACCUCCCUGCCUCUGCUUGAGCGGUGAGAAGAACCAUGCAGGCUCCUGCCCAGGUUGCCCCCACUUCAAGGGAUGUUUUUAGUCAUUUCUAAGAGUCUUCCUGUGUCCUGCUCAGCUCAGAGCACUUUCAACUAAUGGAACCCAGGUUCACCCCUGUGCACCAUUUUCUUUUCUCCCAGCAUGGGCCAAGUCCUGAUAAAAAGGGCAACAACUGAGCCCUCAAUAUGUGCUAGAUCCUUGGCACAUACUAAGCUUUGCAACAAUCAUGCAAAUCAAAUAUUCUAACUAUUCUAAUGCCCACUUUAUAGAGGACAUUAACUCAUUUCCCCCAUGUCCCCCAUGUCUGUUUCAAAGCAGCAGAACAGGGAAAUAAACAUGUUUCCACAUGACCAGCGGCCCCAUCACUGCCUCUGCAUCCUGGUCAUCGAGAAUAGAGGCCUGGCCUCCUCUUUUUCUGUGUUCCACUGGGCACAUCCCCAUGGUCAUUAUGAGACCAAGCAGGGCCCUGUGUGCUCCUGGGCUCACAAGCCUUUCUGUGCCCCCAUUUCUUAUUUUUAGGGAAUAAUCUUCAGCCUCCUUGACCUUCCCAGAGUUCCAAAGGGCAGGUUCAAAUAGUUGCUAAUCAGCAAAGGGAGGGGGAUGCAGAGACCAGGGAGGGACAGUCAAGAAACAAUGGUGCAGGAGUUCCCAUCUUGGCUCAGUGGUUAACGAAUCCGACUAGGAACCAUGAGGUUGCGAGUUCGAUCCCUGGCCUUGUCCAGUGGGUUAAGGAUCUGCCAUUGCCGUGAGCUGCGGUGUGGGUCACAGAUGCACUCAGAUCCCACGUUGCCAUGGCAGUGGUGCGUAGGCCAGCAGCUACAGCUCUGAUUUGACCCCUAGCCUGGGAACCUCCAUUUGCAGGUGGGGGCCUAGAAAAAACAAAAGGAAAAAAAAGGAACAAUGGUGCAGCCUUGGGGAAGGGGCCUGGUCCCUCCUCAAGGAAUAUACAUAAUAAUAUCUUCUGCAGACCUAACCCCCCCAACAAAUGGAAGCUGUUAAUUAUUUAUUCCAUUAAGAAGACCCUCUGACCACUGAACACUAGUUUUGAAAGCAACGCUAGCUUGCCUCUCUCCUGAGCCUUAUCUGUGGCCCUAUUUUUCACUCCCCAAACUAUCAAACCACCUCCCAGUCUCAACCAGUCUUUGAGGCAUUAGCCUGCUGUGACCCUCUGGCUGGCAAAACAAUAAAGGCAUUUUUUCUCCUUCGCC